Molecule: ribosomal RNA, 253 nt
Filed under: uncultured bacterium
Lineage: Bacteria
Description: partial 16S ribosomal RNA
Rfam family: Bacterial small subunit ribosomal RNA
Source: RNAcentral
UACAGAGGUCUCAAGCGUUGUUCGGAUUCAUUGGGCGUAAAGGGUGCGUAGGCGGCGCGGUAAGUCGGGUGUGAAAUCUCGGAGCUUAACUCCGAAACUGCAUUCGAUACUGCCGUGCUUGAGGACUGGAGAGGAGACUGGAAUUUACGGUGUAGCGGUGAAAUGCGUAGAUAUCGAGAGGAACACCUGCGGCGAAGGCGGGUUGAUGGGCUGACACUGACGCUGAUGCGCGAAAGCCAGGGGAGCGAACGGG